GUGCCCUGGCCACAGCCAGAACCGCUCGCGCUCCGCCGCUGAACGAUCGCCAUGGCUCUGGUCGGCAUACUGCUGGCAGCCCUGGCCGUGGGCCUGCUGCUGUAUCUGCUGUUCGUCACUUUCUCCAGGCCUGACAACUUCCCACCAGGGCCGCCUCCGAUGCCGAUAUGGGGCAACUACGUGCAGAUGCUGCUGUUCAACUACAAGUACCCAUACAAGGUGCUGGACCUGCUGACACGCCUCUACAAGAGCAAAGUGAUCGGCUUCUACUUCGGGGACAUGCCCGCCGUCGCUGCCUGCGACUACGAGUCGGUCAAGGAGGCGCUCAACAACCCGCACCUACAGGGACGCGUCGUCAACAUCGGGCUCGACCACAGGAUGUUCGGCAAGAAACUAGGCAUCUUCUUCACGGAUGGCCCCCAGUGGCUGGAGCAGCGGCGGUUCUCGCUGAGGAACAUGCGGGACUUCGGGUUCGGCCGUCGCUCUGAGAAGCUGGAGGCCGAAUUGGGGGCGGAGUUGCGAGACCUGGUGGAGUUGAUCCGCGGGGGCCGCGAAGACCAGGCGGUGGUGCGUCCGUCGUCAGGUGCGAGCAGCGUGCUGCUACCGGAGGCGCUGGCGCCAGGCUUCAUCAACGGGCUGCUGCACGUGUACACGGGCGCGCGGCUGCCGCGCUCCGCGGACUCCACGGCUCGCAUGCUGGGGCGUGCGGCGCUGCAGUUCACCAAGGCCAGCGACACCACGGGCGGCUUCCUCACGCUGCACCCCUGGCUGUCGUGGCUGGCGCCGCGCCUCUCCGGCUACCGGGACCACGUCCAGAGCUCCGAGAAGAUGCGUCUCUUCCUGGAGCAAUCUAUUGAAGAACACAAGAAGACGUACUCCGACGAAUACAUGCGGGACUUCAUCGACUCGUACCUGCGGGAAAUUGAAGAGCGAGAGAAGAUUGGAGAACCGACAGCAUUUACCUCAGAGCAGCUGUCCCUGAUUCUGCUGGAUUUCUUCUUCCCGGCUGCCUCUGUGCUAUCAGCCACCUUGACGUGGGCACUCAUCUAUGUGGUUCACAACCCAGAAGUGAUGAGGAAGGUGCAGGACGAAUUGGAUGCAGUCGUGGGCCGCGGGAGGCUACCCACGCUAGACGAUCGGCCCAACCUGCCAUAUACAGAAGCAACACUACGGGAGGUGAUGAGGAUUCGAACCGUCACCCCCAUCUCUGUACCCCAUAAGGCCAUGGAAGACACCACCCUCCAGGGUUAUACUGUGCCCAAAGGAACCGUUGUGAUAACAUGCUUAAUUAGCAUGCACAUGGAUGGAGAUCUGUGGGGUGAUCCAAACAACUUCAGACCUGAGAGGUUUUUGGAUACUGAUGGAAAACUCAGCAAGAAAGACUUUACCCUGCCAUUUGGGGCUGGUAAACGGCUGUGUGCUGGAGAGACUUUUGCCCGCCAGAAUUUGUUUCUCACAUUCUCGACACUCCUGCAGAACUUUUCAGUCAAGCCAGAUGGCCUGCCUCUGCCAGACAGCAACAUUCCAGGCAUCAUCGAGACAGCUCCUGCAUUCUGGGCACGGUUUGUGCCUCGCUGAUAGGACAUAUCACAUUCCCAGGUGAACAUCCACAAUGAAAAUACAGGCAUGAGGCAAGAGGUAACUGGACUGAUUCCUACGGCAAUACUCAGGAUUUUGAAGAAUAUGCCAAUGCAACAGAUCGCACCCAUCUAUGUGCUUCACAUAAAGGAUACUAAUAUUUGGAUGAAUAUGUUUGUGGAUGUUCAACACAAAGCUGCAACCUAGGACAAUGUUAAUAUAAAAUUAAUUCAAAAUUUUGCCAGUAUGUUCUUGGACACUGCCAGGUUGGCAAUUUUUUUAUAAAUUUAUAUAUCAUCAUUGGUGAUAAAAGUAUUUUCACAGGAAAAGUUUCACAGGCCAGCAGAUGGCAGUUUCCAUCAAAAGAAAAUGACUGUCACUUUGGUGGAGAACUAUUUUAUGUGUUUCUAAUAGUCAUACAUUUGUAAUAUUUAUGAAUAA
RNA transcript from Schistocerca nitens (vagrant locust), 2019 nucleotides. It is a transcript of the gene named probable cytochrome P450 304a1, with no coding region annotated. The record is from RefSeq and is a predicted model, not a curated record. The transcript is spliced from 10 exons. Lineage: Eukaryota; Metazoa; Arthropoda; Insecta; Orthoptera; Acrididae.